RNAcentral lists this long non-coding RNA (2272 nucleotides) under Brassica rapa (field mustard). RNAcentral's name for it is "long non-coding RNA (BRAP_LNC005100)". Lineage: Eukaryota; Viridiplantae; Streptophyta; Magnoliopsida; Brassicales; Brassicaceae. The record is from RNAcentral.
AAAAUAAGUCAAACUAACAGCAAAUGAGAAAAUAAAAUGCGGAAUUUGCAGAUGUGUCAGACAUUUAGUAAUAGACUGAAGGAUUUUAAAGAUAUAUUGAACUCAUUUUUGAUACAAUAUAAAAUUAAGUUAACCUUUCAAGAAAAGUAGUUUGAGGUAGAUCCAACAUUUGGAUUAAAAAUUUAUGUGUGUUCUAUUCAAAACUUAUAUAUACGCUGAUUUAAUACGAGAUAUUUUUUUUUUGAUUUUCCUUUUUUUUAUUCGGUUUUGCCUAAAACUCGACUACGGCGUUAUUUGACUAAAAUAUACUAUUAUUAAACAAUUUUUAGGCUAACUUUUAUUUUUCUUCAGAUUUAGGAGUGAUAAAGUUAUGAAGAGACGAAUUUGUACUCUAUCUUUGAGGAAGUUUUCUGAACUUAUGUUUUGAUUUUAAUACAAUUAUGCAUUCUUCACAUUUGAUAUGUGUUUCUUUAUUUAUGUUUGAGUAAAUCUAUAGUUAGGCGCAUGGUUUCUAGGAAUACAUAGAUUGUUGAUUGUGGUUUGAUAGAAUUUAGUGACUGAAUUUGACUGAUCACAUAGUUUAUGAUUCAUGUGGGAACAUAAAUUUGCAAUGUUAAAAAAUUGUAAUGAAAAAUGCAAAACUUAAUUGGGAGCAGCAAGUAAUCCGAAAGAUGCGGAAAUGAAAUAAAAGAAUACAAAAAUGGAACUUACAAACAAAUUUUUUUAUCAUGAAUUUGCGUAAGAGCGUUCAAGAGACUUAAUUGAUUUCUUGCUAUUUUCAUGUUUCUCCGUAUCAUAUAUUGGUUCAUUUAGUUCAUUUAGGUUGCAUUUAGGUGUAUAUAUUGCAUUUGUGUGUUCAUUUGCAUAUAAUAGGCGUUGGAGAAGCUAUUUGGUGGAUUUGGAGGUGGUUAGAGUACUUUGAAGUCAAUGUGGUGAAAAGUAGGUGUAGACAAUUUUUUAUGUGCUAAGUAUCCUAACGACAACAUGUCGCUACGAAGAAGGCUAUGAGUUUGUAGCGACCACCGUAGCGACCACAACAGGUCGCUACAAAACACCAGAGAGUUGAAAUUUGGCAAGUGUCCUAGCAACCAGGGCAAGCAGCUGCAACACUUAGAAACAAUCUGUAAAUUUUUGCAUAUGACAGCUUUUUCCCAAUUUAUUUUGGGUCGAUCUAAGGUUGUUGGGCCGACCCAGUUCGUUUUUAAAGCCUAUAAAUAGGUAUUUAAGGGAUGAAAAUCCUAAGCUACCUAAGCCUUAGUUUUGUUAUUUCUCUUGUUUUUAGACUUAAUCUCUUGUGAAUCUUGCUUGGUUUAAAGAUUUAUUUUGUUAAUCUUGUUUAUCUAUCUUCUAAUCUCUUGUUUAUCCAAUAAUCUAUCAUGGGUUUGUGUGGUUUCAUGGAGAUUAGUGAGUAAAACUUUUAGAGUUCUUGGGUUUAGUAGAUUAGAGUGAUUAGUGCUUGAUUUAUGAAGAUAUGUGCAUAAUCUAUAUGAUCUUGAUUGGUGUGCUUAAUGCUAGAUUAAGGUCGGAAAAUCAUAAUCUAGAUCAUAAUUUGUUUCAUGCCUGGAAAAUGUUCGAUGACAUGCUUGAAUGAAAUCAUUAAUGUGUUUUACUUGCUUAGCCAACAUGAGUUGAUGCUAGGGUUUUUUAGUGGCUAUUAGGACUUGAGUUUUAUGCAUGCGUGAUGCUAAUUAACAAAUGGGAAUUGAUGUUAAGAACUUGAUUAGCAUAGUAGUUAUUGUCACGAGAGUGGAUUAGCUCAUAUUAGUGAUUUUAGGCUAAAAAUUAGGAAUUGUUGAUUGUUUGAGCAUCGUGAGAUAGUAUUUGAUCAUUCUAAUCAAUAUACUUGACCCAAGAGCUUGUCUUUUUUUUUUUAAGUUUGUCGGUUUGACUUUUUGUUCACUUUUUUAUUUUACAUAGUUUAAUCAUAAUCCUCUUCCCAUUUUCUUAGAUUAGGGAAAUUUGUGUAUUCAUAAUAAGAAUAGGUCUUAAUUCUAUGUGGAUUCGAUCAUAGAGUGCUAAAAUGACAUAUCAUUCGAUUGUGGUAUUGUUGGCACAAUAGGUUAAUUGGUAUGUGCUUAAACGCAUAAUCAAAAAUCGUACAAGACAUUCAUAUGGAAGUGAGAUUAUAACUAAAAUUGAAUAAUAUAUGCAGUAAAACCUAUCUAAGUUUCUAAAGUAACCACAUAUGUCAAAAAAUCUAGAUGAGUCGCAGCUCUUUAGCAUAAGAUAAAUAUAAAGCCUAAAGUUUCUAAUUGGAGAGAGUUUCAGUAGC